GAUGAACGCUGGCGGCGUGCCUAAUACAUGCAAGUCGAGCGAACGGACGAGAAGCUUGCUUCUCUGAUGUUAGCGGCGGACGGGUGAGUAACACGUGGAUAACCUACCUAUAAGACUGGGAUAACUUCGGGAAACCGGAGCUAAUACCGGAUAAUAUUUUGAACCGCAUGGUUCAAAAGUAAAAGACGGUCUUGCUGUCACUUAUAGAUGGAUCCGCACUGCAUUAGCUAGUUGGUAAGGUAACGGCUUACCAAGGCAACGAUGCAUAGCCGACCUGAGAGGGUGAUCGGCCACACUGGAACUGAGACACGGUCCAGACUCCUACGGGAGGCAGCAGUAGGGAAUCUUCCGCAAUGGGCGAAAGCCUGACGGAGCAACGCCGCGUGAGUGAUGAAGGUCUUCGGAUCGUAAAACUCUGUUAUUAGGGAAGAACAUAUGUGUAAGUAACUGUGCACAUCUUGACGGUACCUAAUCAGAAAGCCACGGCUAACUACGUG
This 497-nucleotide ribosomal RNA is filed under the name uncultured bacterium. RNAcentral describes it as "partial 16S ribosomal RNA". It matches the Rfam family "Bacterial small subunit ribosomal RNA", at positions 28 to 507 of the family's 1533-position model. The record is from RNAcentral.